UUGGCUUAGAAGCAGCCAUCCUUGAAAGAGUGCGUAAUAGCUCACUGGUCAAGUGGUUCCGCGCCGACAAUGUAGCGGGGCUUAAGCACACCGCCGACGCCGCGGCAGUCCAUCGUGGUCCUAGCCUGUCCGUUGGGCGGGUUCAGGGGGUGGGCUGGGUAGGGGAGCGUCCCGCGUUGGGUGAAGUCUCGGGGUGACCCGGGGUGGACGGCGUGGGAGUGAGAAUGCAGGCAUGAGUAGCGAGAGGCGGGUGAGAAACCCGUCCGCUGAUUGACUAAGGGUUCCAGGGCCAGGUUGAUCCGCCCUGGGUUAGUCGGGUCCUAAGGCGAGGCCGACGGGCGUAGUCGAUGGACAACGGGUUGAUAUUCCCGUACCGGCGCUUGACCGUUCAAUGUUCGCCGGGGUGAUGCUAACCAUCCCCGAUCCUGUGUGUCUCUUUCGGGAGGCGUGUGGGGGAGGGCGUGGGGUCCGAGCCUGGGUGGGCAAGCGUGGUAACAGGUGUGACGCAGAGUGGUAGUCCAACCGUGUCGUAUGGCUGAGCACGGCUAAGGGUGCAGCCCGUCUCCCAGGUAAAUCCGGGGGGCGUUCGGGUCAGGCCUGAUGGGGACCGUUUGACGGGAAGUGGAUGAUCCUGUGCUGCCGAGAAAAGCAUCGACGUCAGGGCAAGCGCCGCCCGUACCCGAAACCGACACAGGUGGUCAGGUAGAGUAUACCGAGGCGUGCGAGUUAAUCGUGGUUAAGGAACUCGGCAAAAUGCCCCCGUAACUUCGGGAGAAGGGGGGCCCGGGCCUUGAUGUCCCCGUGCGGGGCGGAAGGGGCGCGGGCCGCAGAGUCCAGGGAGAAGCGACUGUUUAUCAAAAACACAGGUGCGUGCUAAGCCGCAAGGCGAUGUAUACGCACUGACGCCUGCCCGGUGCUGGAAGGUUAAGCGGACUGGUCAGCCCUUCGGGGUGAAGCUGGGAAGUUAAGCCCCAGUAAACGGCGGUGGUAACUAUAACCAUCCUAAGGUAGCGAAAUUCCUUGUCGGGUAAGUUCCGACCUGCACGAAUGGCGUAACGACUUCCCCGCUGUCUCCACCAUGAGCUCGGCGAAAUUGCAGUACGAGUAAAGAUGCUCGUUUCGCGCAGAAGGACGGAAAGACCCCGGGACCUUUACUAUAGCUUGGUAUUGGCGCCCGCUAUGGCUUGUGCAGGAUAGGUGGGAGACUGUGAGGCCAUCACGCCAGUGGUGGUGGAGUCGUCGUUGAAAUACCACUCUGGCCAUGGCGUGCGCCUGAACCUGGGCCCGUGAUCCGGGUCAGGGACAGUGCCUGGUGGGUAGUUUAACUGGGGCGGUUGCCUCCUAAAGUGUAACGGAGGCGCUCAAAGGUCCCCUCAGCCUGGUCGGCAACCAGGUGUUGAGUGCAAGUGCACAAGGGGGCUUGACUGCGAGACCGACGGGUCGAGCAGGUGCGAAAGCAGGAACUAGUGAUCCGGCGAUCCCGUGUGGGUGGGUCGUCGCUCAACGGAUAAAAGGUACCCCGGGGAUAACAGGCUGAUCCUGCCCAAGAGUCCAUAUCGACGGCAUGGUUUGGCACCUCGAUGUCGGCUCGUCGCAUCCUGGGGCUGGAGUAGGUCCCAAGGGUUGGGCUGUUCGCCCAUUAAAGCGGUACGCGAGCUGGGUUCAGAACGUCGUGAGACAGUUCGGUCCCUAUCCGCUGCGCGCGCAGGAGAAUUGAGAAGGGCUGUCCCCAGUACGAGAGGACCGGGACGGACGAACCUCUGGUGUGCCAGUUGUUCCGCCAGGAGCACGGCUGGUUGGCUACGUUCGGGAGGGAUAACCGCUGAAAGCAUCUAAGCGGGAAGCCUGCUUCAAGAUAAGUUCUCCAUCCAGCCUGUGU
RNAcentral lists this ribosomal RNA (1879 nucleotides) under human oral metagenome. RNAcentral's name for it is "bacterial LSU rRNA". It matches the Rfam family "Bacterial large subunit ribosomal RNA", at positions 1101 to 2827 of the family's 2925-position model. The record is from RNAcentral.